GACGAACGCUGGCGGCGUGCUUAACACAUGCAAGUCGAACGGAAAGGCCCCUUUGGGGGUCCUCGAGUGGCGAACGGGUGAGUAACACGUGAGUAACCUGCCCUUGACUUCGGGAUAACUUCAGGAAACUGGGGCUAAUACCGGAUAGGAAUCCUUGCUGCAUGGUGGGGGUUGGAAAGCUUCGGCGGUUUUGGAUGGACUCGCGGCUUAUCAGCUUGUUGGUGGGGUAGUGGCUUACCAAGGCUUUGACGGGUAGCCGGCCUGAGAGGGCGACCGGCCACAGUGGGACUGAGAUACGGCCCAGACGCCUACGGGAGGCAGCAGUGGGGAAUAUUGCACAAUGGGCGGAAGCCUGAUGCAGCAACGCCGCGUGCGGGAUGACGGCCUUCGGGUUGUAAACCGCUUUCAGCAGGGGCGAAGCUUGUGGUGACGGUACCUGCAGAAGAAGCACCGGCUAACUACGUG
This 465-nucleotide ribosomal RNA is filed under the name uncultured bacterium. RNAcentral describes it as "partial 16S ribosomal RNA". It matches the Rfam family "Bacterial small subunit ribosomal RNA", at positions 28 to 507 of the family's 1533-position model. The record is from RNAcentral.